CACUGUCAGCAGUGCUAACAGCCUCACAGCUUUCUAAGUAGACCCAGAUGACACUUAACCAGAAUAAAGCUAAGAGUCUGUUUUUUCCUAACCCUUUCAUGACAGACAUCAAGAGCAAAAGCGGCAGCAGGAAAGCAGACAUAACAACUCUGCGACAUGGAGAAGAUGUGUGAUAAUCAUAUCACUCCCUCUGAAGAACUGUCUUCAAACAGUUCAGUUGUCAUGGGAAUUCACCAGUGCAAGAAAAGGAGAGCGGAGGGGGCUGGGCCAACUCUAUUCCACAUCACUGUUCCAUGGCUGCUUUCAAAAAGGUCAGAGAAAUGAACUCAUACUGCAGAGGAACGGAGCCAGAGCCUUGCAGACCACUGAGGGCAUCCAAAGACAGGGUGGCAGAGGCAGGGAGGAGUCAGCUGAGGUGGCUCUGGCACCUGUUCCGGAUUCCCCUUGGACACCUCCCUCGUGAGGUGUUCCAGACAUUUCCCAACAGGAGGAGGCCCAGAGGAUGCCUCAGGACACACUGGAGAGGCUGCCUUUCAGCUGAGAACACCUCGAGCUGGAGGUAGUGGAUGGGGAGAGAGAAGUCUGGGGGUCUCUGCUGGGACUGCUGCCUCCAUGACCUGGUUCCGGAUAAGAGGAAGACGACGACGACAAAUAAAAAGCAAAACACAAAACAAACAAAACACAUUUUAAUAUCAUAAAUAAUGUAAAUGAAGCUUUAAUAACCAAUAUAUUAUACCUACGUGAAAUAAGUUUUUAAGAGAUAACUAGUUUAAAUGUCUGUGGUUCGUUUAUUUAAAUAAGCAAUUUGAUCAGUGUUAAAUCAUCCCUUUGUUUUAAUGCUUAUCAUAAAAUCAUUAUUUUGGCUCAAUGCUUUAUGAGAAAAUAUGUUGUGAUAUUAUACAGCUACAACA
Molecule: long non-coding RNA, 911 nt
Organism: Girardinichthys multiradiatus
Lineage: Eukaryota; Metazoa; Chordata; Actinopteri; Cyprinodontiformes; Goodeidae
Exons: 4
Source: RefSeq, a predicted model, not a curated record